RNAcentral lists this transfer RNA (76 nucleotides) under Chlamydiota bacterium. RNAcentral's name for it is "Chlamydiae bacterium tRNA-Phe". It matches the Rfam family "tRNA". From Rfam's summary of the family: Transfer RNA (tRNA) molecules are approximately 80 nucleotides in length. Their secondary structure includes four short double-helical elements and three loops (D, anti-codon, and T loops). The record is from RNAcentral. Lineage: Bacteria; Pseudomonadati; Chlamydiota. RNAcentral also lists the same sequence under 1 other name.
GGCCAGAUAGCUCAGUUGGUAGAGCAGAGGACUGAAAAUCCUUGUGUCGCCGGUUCGAUUCCGGCUCUGGCCACCA